GCAGGCCUGAAUAUUCCUAUAUUAAAAAAAAUAUUAUUUUAUUUAUUAGUAUAUUAGAAACUCAUUAUAUUUACUAAUGAAGAAAGGUUAUGCUAUGCCGAACUACAAACUAUCAGAGGCCCAGGAGUUCGAUUAUUUGUCCAACACAUUUCAUUUAGGUUGGAAUGAAACUAGACAAGUUUUUUUGUUUCGUAUUAAAAGUGCCGCUAGGUGCGCCAAAGUGCCUGUUCGAACGAUUUAGUGGAAAUGGUCGACAUGUUCGAGGAUUUUAAAGCUGGUCCAAUGACAUAUCUAGCUCAUAUUUUGGUGGAGGAAAUGGUCCACUUAGAGGGGAAUAUCAAACAUUUAGUAGAGCAAUCGUUUUUGCAUGACGAAAUUUGAUGAGUUUAUGAAUAAAAUAUCGGUUUGGAGGAGGAGGAAUUUUCACGAGGAUUCACUACUGCUAUGGGCCUUACUUAUUUAAGAACUAAAUAUUUCUGAGAAUAAUAUUUAUUAAACCAA
Molecule: long non-coding RNA, 501 nt
Organism: Drosophila willistoni
Lineage: Eukaryota; Metazoa; Arthropoda; Insecta; Diptera; Drosophilidae
Exons: 3
Source: RefSeq, a predicted model, not a curated record